Molecule: ribosomal RNA, 1339 nt
Filed under: uncultured bacterium
Lineage: Bacteria
Description: partial 16S ribosomal RNA
Rfam family: Bacterial small subunit ribosomal RNA
Source: RNAcentral
GACGAACGCUGGCGGCGUGCUUAACACAUGCAAGUCGAACGGUAAGGCUCCAGCUUGCUGGGGUACACGAGUGGCGAACGGGUGAGUAACACGUGGGUGACCUGCCCUGCACUUCGGGAUAAGCCUGGGAAACUGGGUCUAAUACCGGAUAGGACCGCACCGUGAGGGUGUGGUGGAAAGUUUUUUCGGUGUGGGAUGGGCCCGCGGCCUAUCAGCUUGUUGGUGGGGUAAUGGCCUACCAAGGCGGCGACGGGUAGCCGGCCUGAGAGGGUGGACGGCCACAUUGGGACUGAGACACGGCCCAGACUCCUACGGGAGGCAGCAGUGGGGAAUAUUGCACAAUGGGCGGAAGCCUGAUGCAGCGACGCCGCGUGGGGGAUGACGGCCUUCGGGUUGUAAACUCCUUUCACCAUCGACGAAGGGUUUCUGACGGUAGAUGGAGAAGAAGCACCGGCUAACUACGUGCCAGCAGCCGCGGUAAUACGUAGGGUGCGAGCGUUGUCCGGAAUUACUGGGCGUAAAGAGCUCGUAGGUGGUUUGUCGCGUCGUCUGUGAAAUUCCGGGGCUUAACUCCGGGCGUGCAGGCGAUACGGGCAUAACUUGAGUACUGUAGGGAGACUGGAAUUCCUGGUGUAGCGGUGAAAUGCGCAGAUAUCAGGAGGAACACCGGUGGCGAAGGCGGGUCUCUGGGCAGUAACUGACGCUGAGGAGCGAAAGCAUGGGGAGCGAACAGGAUUAGAUACCCUGGUAGUCCAUGCCGUAAACGGUGGGCGCUAGGUGUGGGUUUCCUUCCACGGGAUCCGUGCCGUAGCUAACGCAUUAAGCGCCCCGCCUGGGGAGUACGGCCGCAAGGCUAAAACUCAAAGGAAUUGACGGGGGCCCGCACAAGCGGCGGAGCAUGUGGAUUAAUUCGAUGCAACGCGAAGAACCUUACCUGGGCUUGACAUAUACAGGAUCGCGCCAGAGAUGGUGUUUCCCUUGUGGCUUGUAUACAGGUGGUGCAUGGUUGUCGUCAGCUCGUGUCGUGAGAUGUUGGGUUAAGUCCCGCAACGAGCGCAACCCUUGUCUUAUGUUGCCAGCACGUUGUGGUGGGGACUCGUAAGAAACUGCCGGGGUUAACUCGGAGGAAGGUGGGGAUGACGUCAAAUCAUCAUGCCCCUUAUGUCCAGGGCUUCACACAUGCUACAAUGGUCGGUACAGUGGGUUGCCAGUCCGUGAGGGCGAGCUAAUCCCGCAAAGCCGGUCUCAGUUCGGAUCGGGGUCUGCAACUCGACCCCGUGAAGUCGGAGUCGCUAGUAAUCGCAGAUCAGCAACGCUGCGGUGAAUACGUUCCCGGGCC